Molecule: ribosomal RNA, 808 nt
Filed under: uncultured bacterium
Lineage: Bacteria
Description: bacterial SSU rRNA
Rfam family: Bacterial small subunit ribosomal RNA
Source: RNAcentral
AGAGUUUGAUCAUGGCUCAGAACGAACGCUGGCGGCGUGGAUAAGACAUGCAAGUCGAACGGGAUGUUGUUUGUAGCAAUACAGAUGAUGUCCAGUGGCGUAAGGGUGCGUAACACGUGGGCAAUCUGCCGAGAAGUGGGGGAUAGCUCGCCGAAAGGCGAAUUAAUACCGCAUGUGGCCAGGAGAGACAUCUCUCCAACGCCAAAGCCGGGGCAACCUGGCGCUUCCUGAUGAGCCCGCGGCCUAUCAGCUAGUUGGUGAGGUAACGGCUCACCAAGGCUAUGACGGGUAGCUGGUCUGAGAGGACGACCGGCCACACUGGAACUGAGACACGGUCCAGACACCUACGGGUGGCAGCAGUCGAGAAUUUUUCUCAAUGGGGGAAACCCUGAAGGAGCGACGCCGCGUGGAGGAUGAAGGUCUUCGGAUUGUAAACUCCUGUCAUUAGGGAACAAGUGCCGGUAAGUAACUACUACCGGCUUGAUAGUACCUGAAGAGGAAGAGACGGCUAACUCUGUGCCAGCAGCCGCGGUAAUACAGAGGUCUCAAGCGUUGUUCGGAUUCAUUGGGCGUAAAGGGUGCGUAGGUGGCGCCGUAAGUCAGGUGUGAAAUCUCGGGGCUCAACCCCGAAACUGCACUUGAUACUGCGGUGCUCGAGUACUGGAGAGGAGAUUGGAAUUUACGGUGUAGCAGUGAAAUGCGUAGAUAUCGUAAGGAAGACCAGUGGCGAAGGCGAAUCUCUGGACAGUUACUGACACUGAGGCACGAGGGCCAGGGGAGCAAACGGGAUUAGAUACCCCAGUAGUCC